Nicotiana tabacum (common tobacco) is the source of this 3991-nucleotide non-coding RNA. Lineage: Eukaryota; Viridiplantae; Streptophyta; Magnoliopsida; Solanales; Solanaceae. The record is from RefSeq and is a predicted model, not a curated record.
UAAACGGAAACCGACGACACAUUCUAGGCUCAACCCCAGGGAAUAAACACAUUCUUCAACUGUUCUUCAAGGGUUUCAAAGAGAGAGAACUCUAAGUGGAACUUAUCAGAAAUCUUCACUCAUCGGAUGUCUCCAAUUUUCCAUUUGUAUGUGGAUUUUAAGUUUUGUGUAGUACUUCUCUGCUCUGUGAAAAUUUCCAUCUAGGACAAAAAUAGUGAUAAAGAGGGAAGAACGUCGAUGCCACCUAUGUAUUUGAUGAAAUUCCCCAGUGGAAGAUCUUCAUGGUCAGCGAGUUUGGAUAAACUCCGUAAUGCAAAUUUUGACAUAAGCUGUUCACGAAAGUUGCAGUUUAUGACAUAACGAUUUCGUCCUUAAAAAGUUCUUGCUCUUGCAUGGAUGGGAUUUCCUCUCUAAAGUGGUGAAUUUUAAAAAGCUUGAGGUUUACUGACUGGUGCAAUCAAGGUUUCACCUUUUUGGAACUGAACGGUUUGCUUUUAAUUGGUAUGCUCAUCGCCAAUUGCUGAAGAUAAACAAUGUCGGAAUAAACAUCAACUCGCUCCUCUCCUUGAAAGCAUCUGAAGCUGGAAUUGUAGUCUUCAUUCUAUUGUUGGUCUGGUUCACGUGUCGCCAGCUGGUUCUAUUUAUACAACAGAGAAAGGUAUAUUGACUAUAGGCAUUCUUUCAAUUGGUUUGCUCAAAAGUUACAUUGCCAAUUACUCUAGCUUUACAACAUACCAAAGCCGUUGGGUUCUGUAAAGAGUACAAUCAUUUGCCUGAAGUCAUCCGAUGCUACCUGCACAUACUUGGUCAACAAAAAUAUAAAGUUUCUUCUCAGAGGAAACACAAUGUCUUUUGAGAGUUUGUUAAAUUCUAUGGUAAAUGUUGAUGUUUGCUAUGAUGUUGAUAUUUGUUGAAGAAAUGCUUUUCUACACUUGUAGAAACUGAAGGUUUACUGGCUUGUAUGAUAAGAGGGAGGAAGGAAACUGUCAGUAUGAGUAGAAUGACUUCUGCUUAAAUUCUCAUGUCUUGCUGACUACAACAAAUGCUUGUCCUCACAUUCAUCAGCUGAGGACUAAACCUAUAGAAUGUUGUUCAAGCAGUAGGAGAUAGACUUUGGAAUGAGGAACUACUGGAUAAUGUGACUCCAAGCUGUGAAAAGGGAUUGUGCUGCUGUUCUUUUUGCCGUAAACUUAAACUACGUUCAACUUUAACUACCACUGCUAUGUAAAAAGAACUAAGAAAAUUGAAUAUGAAAGUUGAGCAAGGAAUGACUAAUGUCUUUCUGCUGUCUGCUAUUGUUCUUAUAAUAGGUCGUAUAAGCCCGGGCCAAUCCCAUCUAGUUCUACUUAUAUAGAAGAGCGCAGAAGCAGCUCUCCGUCGACAUCCCUGCUUGCCGACCAAGGGGUAUUUAGUCAUUUCAGUCUAAUUUUGUGUUGAGUUCUCUAUUAUGUCCUUAUAUCUUAUAACGCAUGCUACUUAAAUUAACGAGGGUUGCAUAGUCAUUUUACACCUAUACAAUCUGACAGCACCGCUACACAGCUCAUGUGAUUCUCUCUCUUUAGUAUUCUCAACUUAUUGUCUGCGAUACAAGUUGCAACCCUGUUCCUCCAUGGAUUUUGCCGUACUUUCGCAUUCAUAGCUUAAAUUAAAUCAACUUCCAUUUGUGGAUGCUCUACCAUCUUCUUCACAAGAUAAAUUGGGGUUUGGACUUCUUCGCUGCUCUGUCUUUGUUGCAUCAAGGUAAUCACUUCGUUUCAAUUUACUUCACUGAUCUGUACUAUUUCAUCUCCGCUCUUCUUCUGGUAGGAAUUUUCAUUUUAGAGAAAAAAUCUGUUUGACUUUCCCCUAUUUUGAAUUUGCACAGUUGCUGAAACUCUUAAUAAAUGGGUUUUUGCUGCUUCGUUGGAGCUGAAGAAAGGGGGGGGGGGGGGGGAUUCACAAUGGUGCUUGCUUUGAAUUUUAGUUUUUUUACGGAAAUUUAUUGUGAAUAUUGGUGUGGAUUUAAGGAUUUCUACAGAAAUUUUAUUGUGAAAAUUGGUAUGUAGAAAUUGUUUUUAUUAUUCUUUGUGUCAGGAGGGGAGGUUAGUUACGUUCUUAGGACUCUGUGUGUUGAAGAUUUUUUGGUAUUUGCAUUAAAACAGUGUGUUUCGAUCUCUAAUUUUUGGUACAAUUUUUUCAACUUUAGUGGUAAUGCACUGGUAGGGAAAACCUCAAUCUAUGUUUUAAAUAAUGAAGCUUUAGAAUGCACUCAUUUCCAAGACAGAGAAAAUUGGAUUACUGUGAUGAACACUUUUGUUGGUUAUUGCACAUUGACACAUGUUCACAUAAUAGUAAAUCUGAUAGGGCCAGGGGAAGAGAUGGCUUUCGCUAAUCAUGUUAUAAAAGAAUUAUAUUUUGUUGUUGGUGUUCCACAUGUGCCUUAACUAUCUCCAGAUCUUCUUAUUGAACUACCUUCUCCAAAUGGUUCACAUCAUUAUGGAUUAUGUUUUACCUGUCUUCCCUUGGAUGGACUGCUUUGUCAGUAAAGCAACAAGCAUUUAGCUAUAUAUAAAUGAUCUGCUUCAAAUGAAAGGGCAAAUUAACCAAAGAAUGAGACUUCUAAGAGGAAGAACAACUUGGAAGACCCUGCCAAUUCGCAAAAUAAUUAGCAUUAUGCUAGGAAGGGAUUAAGCUAAUCCACUUGAACUUACUUAGAAAUCUUGAAAUGAAUUAAUUCUAGAAAGGGAUAGAUUUAAGAAAUACUUGUUGCCUUUUGUCCUAAUUUCAGGAAGCUUUCGGGUGCAACACAUUGCUUUUCUUAUAACAAGACAAAUAGUAGGCCUAUCUUGCUUGACUGCGAUAGUACUAAGAUGCCUGACGAUAAGGUGAAUAAAUUCCUUGGUAAAGAAGUCAUCUCAGUUUUGAAUGGUUAUUAUACACAAUAUAACGUUCUACCAUUAGUUUCAAAUUUGGUGUCAUUUUGUUUAAUUUCGAUUCCAGAAAAAAUUUCAAAAGCAUCCUAUGUUUUUGUAGCGUUGAAAAAUGUAAAACAAAUGCAAGUGGGUUUACAAUACUUAAAGAGGAAUGUAUACUAUUGAAAGAACACGAAAGUAAGGAAAAAAAAAAGGAAUUGGUACAGAGCUUCUACAAUAGAUAGUUUUCAUAUAAUUUGGUGGAUGUGGGUAGGGAUUUUACAGUGAGUGGCAGGGGUAAGGAUUCUUUGAGCCACUGGUUAUCUCCAUGUCCAAGACUCGGCUAUCACCUGAACAUGGUUAUUUUAAAAGGAUUACAAUGGGAAUCACACCCAACAGCUACAGACAUGGACUGAAAAGAGCAACAUGACCUAUUAUGGAGCAUUAUACAGAAGCAAGAAAUGGUUAGUCAAUAGAUUGGCAUAGCAUCAUCAAGAACCCGAUCCUGUCUUUGGUAUAUGGCAAGCAAAAGAGCUUCUUCAUCAUUUGGAGAGUGUACUGGAUAAUGAGCUUGUCAACACAUGGUUGAGGUGAAACCACAUGAUUAAGCCGAGGCAUAGUUGUUCGGAGUCUAAUGGCAUCAAUGAAGAGCAGAGGGUAGCGACAACUUUUUUUUCCAUGCAUAAGCGAUGGCAUAUCCGACAAAGACAUGUUUGAGAGAAUUGCAAGUCAUCUAUCAAACCUUUUUUUGCUUGAUAAAGUACAAGUGUUUGCAUCCAAUGUUGAUCAGAAACCAAGUUUGGCCUAAUACUAUCUUAAUGAUAUAGUUGAAGUUACAAAAAUGCUUCAACACCUUUCAAAAGCAACUGCAACAUCAUCAGCUACCGCCUAAAAAGCCAAGUCGUGCAACCUCCCUUAAAUUUGUCAUUGUAUAGUUAGUCAUACUGCUUAUCUACAAAAACUAUUCAAAACUGACAACUCUUUCCGGAAAAACCAUUAGAAAGUAAUUUAAUGGUAGCUAAUAUGAGUUUAGGCUACAAAAUAGUAUUAUUUCAUGACCUUAAGGAAUUCCAUUAUAUGUUUACUUCCUUUUUUAUGCA